UGCAAGUCGAACGGUAACGGGCCUUCGGGUGCCGACGAGUGGCGAACGGGUGAGUAAUACAUCGGAACGUGCCCGAGAGUGGGGGAUAACGAGGCGAAAGCUUUGCUAAUACCGCAUACGAUCUCAGGAUGAAAGCAGGGGACCUUCGGGCCUUGCGCUCACGGAGCGGCCGAUGGCAGAUUAGGUAGUUGGUGGGAUAAGAGCUUACCAAGCCUGCGAUCUGUAGCUGGUCUGAGAGGAUGAUCAGCCACACUGGGACUGAGACACGGCCCAGACUCCUACGGGAGGCAGCAGUGGGGAAUUUUGGACAAUGGGGGCAACCCUGAUCCAGCCAUGCCGCGUGCAGGAUGAAGGCCUUCGGGUUGUAAACUGCUUUUGUACGGAACGAAAAGUCUCUGGUUAAUACCUGGGGACCAUGACGGUACCGUAAGAAUAAGCACCGGCUAACUACGUGCCAGCAGCCGCGGUAAUACGUAGGGUGCGAGCGUUAAUCGGAAUUACUGGGCGUAAAGCGUGCGCAGGCGGUCAUGCAAGACAGAGGUGAAAUCCCCGGGCUCAACCUGGGAACUGCCUUUGUGACUGCAUGGCUGGAGUGCGGCAGAGGGGGAUGGAAUUCCGCGUGUAGCAGUGAAAUGCGUAGAUAUGCGGAGGAACACCGAUGGCGAAGGCAAUCCCCUGGGCCUGCACUGACGCUCAUGCACGAAAGCGUGGGGAGCAAACAGGAUUAGAUACCCUGGUAGUCCACGCCCUAAACGAUGUCAACUGGUUGUUGGGGAUUUAUUUCUUCAGUAACGAAGCUAACGCGUGAAGUUGACCGCCUGG
Molecule: ribosomal RNA, 822 nt
Filed under: uncultured Comamonadaceae bacterium
Lineage: Bacteria; Pseudomonadati; Pseudomonadota; Betaproteobacteria; Burkholderiales; Comamonadaceae
Description: bacterial SSU rRNA
Rfam family: Bacterial small subunit ribosomal RNA
Source: RNAcentral